GAUGAACGCUGGCGGCGUGCCUAAUACAUGCAAGUCGAGCGAACAGACGAGGAGCUUGCUCCUCUGACGUUAGCGGCGGACGGGUGAGUAACACGUGGAUAACCUACCUAUAAGACUGGGAUAACUUCGGGAAACCGGAGCUAAUACCGGAUAAUAUAUUGAACCGCAUGGUUCAAUAGUGAAAGACGGUUUUGCUGACACUUAUAGAUGGAUCCGCGCCGCAUUAGCUAGUUGGUAAGGUAACGGCUUACCAAGGCGACGAUGCGUAGCCGACCUGAGAGGGUGAUCGGCCACACUGGAACUGAGACACGGUCCAGACUCCUACGGGAGGCAGCAGUAGGGAAUCUUCCGCAAUGGGCGAAAGCCUGACGGAGCAACGCCGCGUGAGUGAUGAAGGUCUUCGGAUCGUAAAACUCUGUUAUUAGGGAAGAAAAAAUGUGUAAGUAACUAUGCACGUCUUGACGGUACCUAAUCAGAAAGCCACGGCUAACUACGUG
Molecule: ribosomal RNA, 497 nt
Filed under: uncultured bacterium
Lineage: Bacteria
Description: partial 16S ribosomal RNA
Rfam family: Bacterial small subunit ribosomal RNA
Source: RNAcentral